Molecule: ribosomal RNA, 497 nt
Filed under: uncultured bacterium
Lineage: Bacteria
Description: partial 16S ribosomal RNA
Rfam family: Bacterial small subunit ribosomal RNA
Source: RNAcentral
GAUGAACGCUGGCGGCGUGCCUAAUACAUGCAAGUCGAGCGAACAGACGAGGAGCUUGCUCCUCUGACGUUAGCGGCGGACGGGUGAGUAACACGUGGAUAACCUACCUAUAAGACUGGGAUAACUUCGGGAAACCGGAGCUAAUACCGGAUAAUAUAUUGAACCGCAUGGUUCAAUAGUGAAAGACGGUUUUGCUGUCACUUAUAGAUGGAUCCGCGCCGCAUUAGCUAGUUGGUAUGGUAACGGCUUACCAAGGCAACGAUGCGUAGCCGACCUGAGAGGGUGAGAGGCCACACUGGAAAGGCGCCACGGUCCAGACUACGACGGGAGGCAGCAGUAGGGAAGCUUCCGCAAUGGGCGAAAGCCUGAAGGAUCAACGACGCGUGAGUGAUGAAGGUCUUCGGAUCGUAAAACGCUGUUAGGAGGGAAGAACAAAAGUGUAAGGAACUAUGCACGUCUGGACGGUACCUAAUCAGAAAGCCACGGCUAACUACGUG